ACUGCAUUUAUUUUAAAUAAAUUUGGAAAAAUGGAGGAAGAGAAGGAAGGAAGAAGGGGAAAAGAAAUUUAAUAAUUGGAAUAUAAUAUGAUUUUUGGAUGCUUGAAUGUGUGUUAUUUCGAGGGGGAAGGAAUAUCGGUAUAAUUCGGGUUUAAUCGGGAGGAGGCAUCGCAGUGCUAUUUUGGCGGCACGGAUAAAUUUAAUGCCCCCCGACUCGUUAUGGCGUCGUGCUCACCUGCUCGAGUCCCUCCCCCCUCCCCUGCCGCCAAUGAAUUGUCCACGGAAUCGAACGGCACGCGUAUUCAAUUCCGGCGGAAUUCGACGCGCGUGGUCCCGACGCGAAACGGCGUAACCGUUUAAAGUCAUCGGUCGAUAAUUGAGUUAUUACUCGCCGCUUCGAUUCCCUAUCCUUUCCAGCUGGAAAAUUUCCAUUUUCAUUCUCGAAUUCGUCCCCUCCUUCCGUCCGAGAUUUUCAUUUUUUUUUCUCUCUCUUUUUCAUUUCGAGAAUUUCGAUUCACACACAAUUUAAAAUAUUGGGUUGGCAACUAAGUAAUUGCGGAUUUCACUCAUAGAUGGCUUCAGUUGAAUUUUUAGGUUUGCUGGCGUAGUCCAAAUGUAUUUAAUAUUUAAUAAAUCUCGAUUCUUCGUUUCCGUUCUCUCUUAUCUAAUGUUAAAAUUUAGCACGUCCAUUUAUCCAUUUUUCAAAAACGAAUCUCUCUCUCUUUCUCUCUAGAAAAAACACUCGCAGCGCUCGAGCUUCGAAGCCGAGUCGAAUUCGAUCGCGCUCCGUCGAUAAGAAAAAUUAGCAUGAUAAUUCGAGAAGGUUGGACGUCUCCUCCGAGUCGAAGCGUGUAGAUAAAAUAAACGGAAUCGUGUCGGAAUCACCUUGGUGGCCACGAUUCCGCCAUUCAAGGGAAUCGUUAAUCCGCGCCGCGCCGCAGAAUUAUUUGCCACAAUGGAAACAAGCCGCCGCGACAGAGCGAGGAGCGACCGAUUCAAAUCGCGACAAUGACGGCAAUGCAAAUCCGGCCGUGGCCGCAUCCACUGAAUAGUCAGGGCUUCCACGCAUAGCUGGGAUCACAUCCACGCCCCCCUCUCUCCCCUGUCCACGCUCCCCACACCGUCAGUUAUUUAUUAGGGUUAACGUUCAUACCUGUGUGAUACUGUCUCAGCCCUCCUCCUCUUUCCUCCUCCUCCCCGUAAAUCGAGCGUUUACCCAACUUUUAUUGGCAGGGGUUGGAGGGGUUGGUUCGAUCCCUGGGAAGGGAAACACGGAUGUUAAUCGAGGUUCGAGGCUGCUUUCGCACGUUGGAAAAUUGGAAAAGAGAGGAUAUUCGAAUGGUGGGUGCUAAAUGCCGAACAGGAUUUGUACGAAAAACGGAUUAGGGAAUUUUAAGCGAAGAAGUUGAAAGCAGGGCAAGUUUUACCGAGGCGAAAUUAUCUUUCGUUCUGGUUGGCUAUCGUUCAGCGCCGUGUUACGGGCCUCGAGUGAACUGCAACCGACAUAUGGAUAUGAUAACUAUGAAAGUUUCAAUUUGUUACCGAUGCCGAAGGAAAAAUGUUUGAACAAAUUUUUCGACAAAUUGAUCUUUCGUUAAUAUGAAAUAAAAUUAUCUCUUCCCUUUUAUCCAAAUAUGUAACGAUGAUAUAAUAAUAAUUUUAUUUAUAUCAAUUUUUUAUUGCGAUGUUAAUUAUUCUUCAUAUCUUCGUGUAUCAUUGUAUAAUUGAUACACAGUUGUUGAUGCAAUUAAUCGUAAUAAAAUAGCACUCUCCGUAAAUAAAACUUUUCGUACAAAGUAAACAUAUAAAUAUAGGAAUACGAUAUUUGAAACACGCGAGUUAUUAAUAGUUUGCGCAACCGAUUAUAUAAUACAAUUGCUCGAU
RNAcentral lists this long non-coding RNA (1884 nucleotides) under Apis mellifera (honey bee). RNAcentral describes it as "uncharacterized LOC107965703". The record is from RNAcentral. Lineage: Eukaryota; Metazoa; Arthropoda; Insecta; Hymenoptera; Apidae.